CCUACGGGUGGCAGCAGUAGGGAAUAUUGCGCAAUGGGGGAAACCCUGACGCAGCAACGCCGCGUGAACGAUGAAGUUUUUCGGAUUGUAAACUCCUUUUAUUGGAGAAGAUAAUGACAUUAUAUAACGAAUAAGGACCGGCUAACUGCGAGCCAGCAGCCACGGUCAUACGUAAGGUGCAAGCGGUACCCGGAAUCCAUGGGCGUAAAGAGCGCGUAGGCGGGAUAUCAAUUCAGUUGGUAAAUCUUAUGGCUUAACCAUAGAACUGCAUUUGAUAAUGUUAUCCUAGAGUAUGGGAGAGGUAGGUGGAAUUAUUGGUGUAGGGGUAAAAUCCGUAGAGAUCAAGAGGAAUACUCAUUGCGAAGGCGACCUGCUAGAACAUAACUGACGCUGAUGCGCGAAAGCGUGGGGAGCAAACAGGAUUAGAUACCCUGGUAGUC
RNAcentral lists this ribosomal RNA (440 nucleotides) under uncultured bacterium. RNAcentral describes it as "partial 16S ribosomal RNA". It matches the Rfam family "Bacterial small subunit ribosomal RNA", at positions 338 to 795 of the family's 1533-position model. The record is from RNAcentral.